UAUCUGAAACUACCCAUCGGCUGGGUCGAUUCUACCCGGAUUUUCAUGAUAUUAGCAGUUGUCAAAAUCCGGGUAACUGAUCUCACAUGAAAAGAGUAACCUUUACCCUGAUUCUGGGUAAACGAAUCUUCGAGAAAAUUUCGAAACCCAAAUUUUCCUGUUGUAUGGUGUUGUCAAAAUCUGGGUAAUCAUUUGGGUAAAUGGGACUUGGAAAAAAUUUUCACAUUGUCCGUGCGUCUAAUCCAAAGAAACACACUCUGGAGGAACUUCUGGAAGUUUAAGAUGAAAAAACCGACUAACUAAUGGCUGACAUUCAUCGAUGAUAGCCUGGCUGCAAGUACUUUGACCCAGUAACCCGAUGCAGACGGAUCAAAUACUCGUUGCUUUCUUGGCUCUCUUGGUUUCUUCCCUUCUGCAAUAGCGGCAGAAUGCGACCCAGAUUUGACAAAAAUCCAUACGAAGAUCAAUACUUUGUACGUGAAGCAGCCACUUAAAAUCAAAAGCAUCGGAAGCAUCUUCAUCAUCCAAGAAGCCAUUUUUGCACGGAAUUUUGAUUUUAUUUUUAUGUAAAACUUGAGACAAAUAAAUGUUUUAUGUGCUUUAUCGAGGUUUUUUUUUUGACAAAACAAAAAUGUUGGGAAGGCUUCGUAGUGUCCGCUAACUCAUUUACAUAAAUAUGGGUAAAGGCUACCCUGAUGAUCACCCUGAUUAGAAACGUCAAAAUCAGGGUAACCUUUACCCAGGUUUUGCGACUAACAUCGGUUACCCAGAUUUGAGUAAAGGUACCUUUACCCACUUUAGAGUAACUGCAGUUUUGCUCGAUCUGGGUCACUUUGGCACCAAUCUGGGUAGCUGGGGGUUAGCGU
This is a long non-coding RNA of Aedes albopictus (Asian tiger mosquito), 866 nucleotides long. RefSeq lists it as uncharacterized. Lineage: Eukaryota; Metazoa; Arthropoda; Insecta; Diptera; Culicidae. The transcript has 3 exons. The record is from RefSeq and is a predicted model, not a curated record.